CCUACGGGUGGCAGCAGUGGGGAAUAUUUGACAAUGGGGGGAACCCUUAUCCAGCGACGCCGCGUGAGUGAAGAAGUAUUUCGGUAUGUAAAGCUCUAUCAGCAGGGAAGAAAGAAAUGACGGUACCUGACUAAGAAGCCCCGGCUAACUACGUGCCAGCAGCCGCGGUAAUACGUAGGGGGCAAGCGUUAUCCGGAUUUACUGGGUGUAAAGGGAGCGUAGACGGUUACGCAAGUCUGGAGUGAAAGGCGGGGGCCCAACCCCCGGACUGCUUUGGACACUGUAUAACUGGAGUGCAGGAGAGGUAAGGGGAAUUCCUGGGGUAGCGGUGAAAUGCGUAGAUAUUAGGAGGAACACCAGUGGCGAAGGCGGCUUACUGGACUGUAACUGACGUUGAGGCUCGAAAGCGUGGGGAGCAAACAGGAUUAGAUACCCCAGUAGUC
This 443-nucleotide ribosomal RNA is filed under the name uncultured bacterium. Its description in RNAcentral is "partial 16S ribosomal RNA". It matches the Rfam family "Bacterial small subunit ribosomal RNA", at positions 338 to 795 of the family's 1533-position model. The record is from RNAcentral.